GUCAGUAUGUCCGAGUGGUUAAGGAGUGUGACUCGAAAUCACAUGGGAUUUUCCCACGUAGGUUCAAAUCCUACUGCUGACG
Cladochytrium replicatum is the source of this 82-nucleotide non-coding RNA. The record is from the annotation of a GenBank genome assembly. NCBI's taxonomy places the organism in Eukaryota, Fungi, Chytridiomycota, Chytridiomycetes, Cladochytriales, Cladochytriaceae.